UACGUAGGUCGCAAGCGUUGUCCGGAUUUACUGGGCGUAAAGAGCGCGCAGGCGGCUGGUCAAGUCCGAUGUGAAAUCUCCCGGCUCAACUGGGAAACUGCAUCGGAAACUGAUCGGCUUGAAGAUGGGAGAGGGUAGUGGAAUUCCCGGUGUAGCGGUGAAAUGCGUAGAUAUCGGGAAGAACACCAGUGGCGAAGGCGCUCUACUGGGCCACAACUGACGCUGAGGGACGAAAGCUAGGGGAGCGAAAGGG
This 253-nucleotide ribosomal RNA is filed under the name uncultured bacterium. RNAcentral describes it as "partial 16S ribosomal RNA". It matches the Rfam family "Bacterial small subunit ribosomal RNA", at positions 524 to 776 of the family's 1533-position model. The record is from RNAcentral.